AGUGAACGCUGGCGGUAGGCCUAACACAUGCAAGUCGAACGGCAGCACAGUAAGAGCUUGCUCUUACGGGUGGCGAGUGGCGGACGGGUGAGGAAUACAUCGGAAUCUACUUUUUCGUGGGGGAUAACGUAGGGAAACUUACGCUAAUACCGCAUACGACCUACGGGUGAAAGCAGGGGAUCUUCGGACCUUGCGUGAUUGAAUGAGCCGAUGUCGGAUUAGCUAGUUGGCGGGGUAAAGGCCCACCAAGGCGACGAUCCGUAGCUGGUCUGAGAGGAUGAUCAGCCACCCUGGAACUGAGACACGGUCCAGACUCCUACGGGAGGCAGCAGUGGGGAAUAUUGGACAAUGGGCGCAAGCCUGAUCCAGCCAUACCGCGUGGGUGAAGAAGGCCUUCGGGUUGUAAAGCCCUUUUGUUGGGAAAGAAAAGCAGCAGGUUAAUACCCCGCUGUUCUGACGGUACCCAAAGAAUAAGCACCGGCUAACUUCGUG
Molecule: ribosomal RNA, 492 nt
Filed under: uncultured bacterium
Lineage: Bacteria
Description: partial 16S ribosomal RNA
Rfam family: Bacterial small subunit ribosomal RNA
Source: RNAcentral